RNAcentral lists this ribosomal RNA (465 nucleotides) under uncultured Klebsiella sp. RNAcentral's name for it is "bacterial SSU rRNA". It matches the Rfam family "Bacterial small subunit ribosomal RNA", at positions 338 to 795 of the family's 1533-position model. The record is from RNAcentral. Lineage: Bacteria; Pseudomonadati; Pseudomonadota; Gammaproteobacteria; Enterobacterales; Enterobacteriaceae.
CCUACGGGCGGCUGCAGUGGGGAAUAUUGCACAAUGGGCGCAAGCCUGAUGCAGCCAUGCCGCGUGUGUGAAGAAGGCCUUCGGGUUGUAGAGCACUUUCAGCGGGGAGGAAGGCGGUGAGGUUAAUAACCUCAUCGAUUGACGUUACCCGCAGAAGAAGCACCGGCUAACUCCGUGCCAGCAGCCGCGGUAAUACGGAGGGUGCAAGCGUUAAUCGGAAUUACUGGGCGUAAAGCGCACGCAGGCGGUCUGUCAAGUCGGAUGUGAAAUCCCCGGGCUCAACCUGGGAACUGCAUUCGAAACUGGCAGGCUAGAGUCUUGUAGAGGGGGGUAGAAUUCCAGGUGUAGCGGUGAAAUGCGUAGAGAUCUGGAGGAAUACCGGUGGCGAAGGCGGCCCCCUGGACAGAGACUGACGCUCAGGUGCGAAAGCGUGGGGAGCAAACAGGAUUAGAUACCCUAGUAGUC